This 301-nucleotide ribosomal RNA is filed under the name uncultured bacterium. RNAcentral describes it as "partial 16S ribosomal RNA". It matches the Rfam family "Bacterial small subunit ribosomal RNA", at positions 509 to 807 of the family's 1533-position model. The record is from RNAcentral.
CAGCCGCCACGGUAAUACGAAGGGUGCAAGCGUUACUCGGAAUUACUGGGCGUAAAGCGUGCGUAGGCGGCUAAUUGAGUCGGAUGUGAAAUCCCCGAGCUUAACUUGGGAAUUGCAUUCGAUACUGGUUAGCUAGAGUGUGGGAGAGGAUGGUAGAAUUCCAGGUGUAGCGGUGAAAUGCGUAGAGAUCUGGAGGAAUACCGAUGGCGAAGGCAGCCAUCUGGCCUAACACUGACGCUGAGGUACGAAAGCAUGGGGAGCAAACAGGAUUAGAUACCCGCGUAGUCCCUGUCUCUUAUAC